UACGUAGGUGGCGAGCGUUGUCCGGAAUUACUGGGCGUAAAGGGUGCGUAGGCGGCUCUUUAAGUGGGAUGUGAAAUCCCUGGGCUCAACCCAGGAACUGCAUUCCAAACUGGAGAGCUAGGGUGCAGGAGAGGAAAGCGGAAUUCCCAGUGUAGCGGUGAAAUGCGUAGAGAUUGGGAGGAACACCAGUGGCGAAGGCGGCUUUCUGGACUAUAACUGACGCUGAGGCACGAAAGCGUGGGGAGCAAACAGG
This 253-nucleotide ribosomal RNA is filed under the name uncultured bacterium. RNAcentral's name for it is "partial 16S ribosomal RNA". It matches the Rfam family "Bacterial small subunit ribosomal RNA", at positions 524 to 776 of the family's 1533-position model. The record is from RNAcentral.